Molecule: long non-coding RNA, 2727 nt
Filed under: Salmo salar (Atlantic salmon)
Lineage: Eukaryota; Metazoa; Chordata; Actinopteri; Salmoniformes; Salmonidae
Description: lncRNA (ENSSSAG00000091321.1)
Source: RNAcentral
GUUGCUUUAGCAGUAUGCUUAGGGUCAUUGUCCUGCUGGAAGGUGAACCUCCGUCCCAGUCUCAAAUCUCUGGAAGACUGAAACAGGUUUCCCCUCAAGAAUGUCCCUGUAUUUAGCGCCAUCCAUCAUUCCUGACCAGUUUCCCAGUCCCUGCCGAUGGAAAAACAUCCCCACAGCAUGAUGCUGCCACCACCAUGCUUCACUGUGGGGAUGGUAUUCUCGGGGUGAUGAUAGGUGUUGGGUUUGCGCCAGAAAUAGCAUUUUCCUUGAUGGCCAAAAAGCUUAAUUUUAGUCUCAUCUGACCAGAGUACCUUCUUCCAUGUGUUUGGAGAGUCUCCCACAUGCCUUUUGGCGAAGACCAAACGUGUUUGCUUAUUUUUUUUAAGCAAUGGCUUUUUUCAGGCCACUCUUCUGUAAAACAUAGCUAUGUGGAGUGUACGGCUUGAAGUGGUCCUAUGGACAGAUACUCCAAUCUCCGCUGUGGAGCUUUGUAGCUCCUUCAGGGUUAUCUUUGGUCUCUUUGUUGCCUCUAGGAUUAAUGCCCUCCUUGCCUGGUCUGUGAGUUUUGAUGGGCGGCCCUCUCUUGGCAGCUUGUUUGGUGGUGCCCGUUGCUUAGUGGUGUUGCAGACUCUGGGGCCUUUCAGAACAGGUGUAUAUAUACUGAGAUCAUGUGGCACUUAGAUUGCACACAGGUGGACUUUAUUUAACUAAUUAUGUGACUUCUGAAAGUAAUUGGUUGCACCAGAUCUUAUUUAGGGGCUUCAUAGCAAAGGGGGUGAAUACAUAUGCACACACCACUUUAAAAAACAUAUUUUUUUAUUGAAACAAGUUAUUUUUUCAGUUUCACUUCACCAAUUUAAACUAUUUUGUGUAUGUCCAUUACAUUAAAUUACAGGUUGUAAUGCAACAAAAUAGGAAAAAUGCCAAGGUGGAUGAAUACUUUUGCAAGGCACUGUAUGGGCCUUGACUAGCCUCUAAAAGCACUUCAUGAUGACAGAGUGUCUGUUUACAACGUGUGUUGGAGAAAAGAAGAGGAGAAGAUCGGAGAGAAGUAUAGUGGCGGAACGGUCACUCUCUCCUGCAGGGCAUGUAGGAUUGAGAUGGAUGAGACAGAGGUGAGAUGAACUACCCUGUUUGAAAUGAUCUUGUGAGGACACUGAGACAGAAGCAAGACUUCUUAGUUAGAUCCCACCGGCUCAGCCUGUCUCAUACUGUACCUUGGCAGGUGGGAAUGCAAUCAUUUCGUUUGAACUAUAGUAUGUAUUACUGUGUGUACAUUUCACUUUUCAGGCAUUAUAAAAAAGAUCAUAUCUGGGUAUCACAAGGAUAUGAUAUCAUUAAUUGACAAGUGCAUUUUGGUUUAGAAAAAUAUUUGAUUGAAAGGAUCCACCCAGAGGACCUCAAAGCAUUGAAAUCAAAUACUUAAAUUCUAUAUUUUUUAAACACUUUUUUUUAAUGUAUUCCCUGGUUUAGUGUACUAUUGCCUUUAUCCUAUAUGUAAUAUGAUGGACUGUAUAUAUCCCUUCCAUACACAGACCAAAAUACCAAAUAUGUACCAUGCCAGCUUUUUCAUAGAUCUGAAAGGGUGUAAAAAACAUGGUCAAUUAAAAUCCACCUAAAGACCUAGUCAUGGGGCGGCAGGUAGCCUAGUGGUUAGAGCGUUGGGCCAGGAACCGAAAGGUUGCUAGAUCGAAUCCCCGAGCUGACAAGGUAAAAAUCUGUCGUUCUGCCACUGAACAAGGCAGUUAACCCACUGUUCCUAGGCCGUCAUUGUAAAUAGGAAUUUGUUCUUAACUGACUUGCUUAGUUAAAUAAGACAGACCCUGUAACCGAAAUACAGGUAUUGGGUAUGUGUGAAUGGUUCCCUGCUUUUUUGUAAGUCAAUUCAUCAACACUUCUAUUGUUUAACACCUCCCUAAUUUGAAAUGCAAACAGCAGUGGUUUAAAAAAUGUGUAUAAUACAGUGGAGGCUGCUGAGGGGAGGACAGCUCAUAAUAAUGGCUGGAAGGGAGCGAAUGGAAUGGCAUCAAACACAUAGAAACCACGUGUUUGAUGUAUUUGACACCAUUCCACUAAUUCCACUUCUGCUAUUACCACAAGCUUGUCCUCCCCAAUUAAGGUGCCACCAACCUCCUGUGGUAUAAUAGCGGUAUACCUGCAAAUAAGUGAUAAAUAAGGGGCUGUUUGAAAGGGGGUCAUAUAAACAUUGCCUUAUAUUUUUUACAGGUUGGUGUUUUUUUUGUUAUUUCCUGUGUGAUCGUGUCAUGUGGCUCUUCAUAACUUGUCCUUUCCUGACACUCAGGGGACCCUGUCAAUUAGCUGUAUUCUGUUUAUAUUUCCUCCCGUUAGAACACCUGGCAAACAAUUACUCUACUGUUAAAGCAGGAGGGAGUUUUUGGACAAAGCACCUCAUAGCUCCCAAGUGAUGACAUGGAUCUGUUAAAUGGCUCUAAAGCGGUUUUUGUGUUAAAAAAGAGAGCCUCUUUGCAGACUUUUGUCUUUGAAAGGCAUUGCCUGAGGCUCAACUACUACGAGGCUGCCUGUUAAUGACUUGUCAAGAGAGGGAGGGGAACAGCUGGAGACAGGAGAUCAUGCUAAGCUCUGCUGGGUUUUCCUCAUUGAAGUUGUGAUUCCUCGGUUGUUGAGGGCGAUUUGUUGAAAUCCUUGAUGUCUCAAAAUGGUUCUGUACCUUUAACAUAACAACAAUAAAUUCUUUGAAACUAAGAA